This 1730-nucleotide ribosomal RNA is filed under the name Salmonella enterica. RNAcentral describes it as "partial 23S ribosomal RNA". It matches the Rfam family "Bacterial large subunit ribosomal RNA", at positions 1221 to 2925 of the family's 2925-position model. Lineage: Bacteria; Pseudomonadati; Pseudomonadota; Gammaproteobacteria; Enterobacterales; Enterobacteriaceae. The record is from RNAcentral.
UUGUUGGGUAGGGGAGCGUUCUGUAAGCCUGCGAAGGUGGCCUGUGAGGGUUGCUGGAGGUAUCAGAAGUGCGAAUGCUGACAUAAGUAACGAUAAAGCGGGUGAAAAGCCCGCUCGCCGGAAGACCAAGGGUUCCUGUCCAACGUUAAUCGGGGCAGGGUGAGUCGACCCCUAAGGCGAGGCCGAAAGGCGUAGUCGAUGGGAAACGGGUUAAUAUUCCCGUACUUGGUGUUACUGCGAAGGGGGGACGGAGAAGGCUAUGUUGGCCGGGCGACGGUUGUCCCGGUUUAAGCGUGUAGGUGUGUGUUCCAGGUAAAUCCGGUUCACUUUAACACUGAGGCGUGAUGACGAGGCACUACGGUGCUGAAGCAACAAAUGCCCUGCUUCCAGGAAAAGCCUCUAAGCAUCAGGUAACAUCAAAUCGUACCCCAAACCGACACAGGUGGUCAGGUAGAGAAUACCAAGGCGCUUGAGAGAACUCGGGUGAAGGAACUAGGCAAAAUGGUGCCGUAACUUCGGGAGAAGGCACGCUGACACGUAGGUGAAGUGAUUUACUCAUGGAGCUGAAGUCAGUCGAAGAUACCAGCUGGCUGCAACUGUUUAUUAAAAACACAGCACUGUGCAAACACGAAAGUGGACGUAUACGGUGUGACGCCUGCCCGGUGCCGGAAGGUUAAUUGAUGGGGUCAGCGCAAGCGAAGCUCCUGAUCGAAGCCCCGGUAAACGGCGGCCGUAACUAUAACGGUCCUAAGGUAGCGAAAUUCCUUGUCGGGUAAGUUCCGACCUGCACGAAUGGCGUAAUGAUGGCCAGGCUGUCUCCACCCGAGACUCAGUGAAAUUGAACUCGCUGUGAAGAUGCAGUGUACCCGCGGCAAGACGGAAAGACCCCGUGAACCUUUACUAUAGCUUGACACUGAACAUUGAGCCUUGAUGUGUAGGAUAGGUGGGAGGCUUUGAAGUGUGGACGCCAGUCUGCAUGGAGCCGGCCUUGAAAUACCACCCUUUAAUGUUUGAUGUUCUAACGUGGACCCGUGAUCCGGGUUGCGGACAGUGUCUGGUGGGUAGUUUGACUGGGGCGGUCUCCUCCUAAAGAGUAACGGAGGAGCACGAAGGUUGGCUAAUCCUGGUCGGACAUCAGGAGGUUAGUGCAAUGGCAUAAGCCAGCUUGACUGCGAGCGUGACGGCGCGAGCAGGUGCGAAAGCAGGUCAUAGUGAUCCGGUGGUUCUGAAUGGAAGGGCCAUCGCUCAACGGAUAAAAGGUACUCCGGGGAUAACAGGCUGAUACCGCCCAAGAGUUCAUAUCGACGGCGGUGUUUGGCACCUCGAUGUCGGCUCAUCACAUCCUGGGGCUGAAGUAGGUCCCAAGGGUAUGGCUGUUCGCCAUUUAAAGUGGUACGCGAGCUGGGUUUAGAACGUCGUGAGACAGUUCGGUCCCUAUCUGCCGUGGGCGCUGGAGAACUGAGGGGGGCUGCUCCUAGUACGAGAGGACCGGAGUGGACGCAUCACUGGUGUUCGGGUUGUCAUGCCAAUGGCACUGCCCGGUAGCUAAAUGCGGAAGAGAUAAGUGCUGAAAGCAUCUAAGCACGAAACUUGCCCCGAGAUGAGUUCUCCCUGAGACUUUAGGUCUCCUGAAGGAACGUUGAAGACGACGACGUUGAUAGGCCGGGUGUGUAAGCGCAGCGAUGCGUUGAGCUAACCGGUACUAAUGAACCGUGAGGCUUAACCUUACA